UGAAGAAUUACAUCUUCUCAGGACA
Molecule: transfer RNA, 25 nt
Filed under: Apodemus witherbyi (Steppe field mouse)
Lineage: Eukaryota; Metazoa; Chordata; Mammalia; Rodentia; Muridae
Description: partial tRNA-Thr
Source: RNAcentral